UGUUGAGUUGGCCAAAAAGUUCGUUUGGAUUUCUCUGUAAUAUCUUACGGAAAAACCCAAACAAACUUUUUUGAACAACCCAAUA
Molecule: microRNA precursor, 85 nt
Organism: Bos grunniens (domestic yak)
Lineage: Eukaryota; Metazoa; Chordata; Mammalia; Artiodactyla; Bovidae
Source: Ensembl